Molecule: transfer RNA, 72 nt
Filed under: Ornithorhynchus anatinus (platypus)
Lineage: Eukaryota; Metazoa; Chordata; Mammalia; Monotremata; Ornithorhynchidae
Rfam family: tRNA
About the family: Transfer RNA (tRNA) molecules are approximately 80 nucleotides in length.
Source: Rfam by way of RNAcentral
AGCAGUGUGGCUCAGUGGCAAGAGCCCGGGCUUGGGAGUCAGAGGUCAUGGGUUCGAAUCCCGGCUCUGCCA